UUUUUUUUUUUUUUUUUUUUUUGGGUAAUAACAGGCCCGUGCCAAAAACAAUCAUGGCUUCAGUUGAUACUUCAGGGCCAGAAUCACUAAUUGGGCCAUUAUGUUGGGUCUGCCGAGAAAUAAAUAAUCUUGUCCUUAAAAAACCGAAAAAGAAAAAAAAAAUAUUAACCUUUCCCCAAGGCAAGUGGUUAAUGUAUUACAUUUUUUAAGACUUUUUAUUUAUUUAUUUUAAUUUUGGUUACCAAUUGGGACUAGUUUAGGGAUUGGGAUUCUACAAUCGGCAGAUGAAUUGCAGCAUGCAAUUCAUGGACCAGAUGGAUUCAAUUAUAAGAUAUUUGCCAAAAAAUUUUUUUUUUAAUGUAAGACAUAUUGCAAAAAACUUAAAAAUCUUUACCAUGAAAAUUGACCAAUUAAGGCAGUGUGAUGAACACUAGCAUAAAAUGUUACAAAAUAUAACAGGGUUCCUUAAGUCCAAAAUCAAUAUUUUCCUAAGUUUCUGGUCUUUUUUUUUUUUUUUUUAAAAAAGAGGUACUUCAACAUGUCAAAAAUGAAAAGAUUUUUUUUGUGGCUUUCCAAAUUUGUAUUUGCGAAUCAAAUCAAAUUUAGCAACGUCUCUUUUAACUUCUUGCACAAAGGUCUUUGAACUUCUUAUCCAAAGGUCAACUUUUAAGGUACAUAAUAAUUUUGUACCUUUUUUAGUUCCCAAUCCAAUAAUAUAUAUUCCCAUCCAGGCUCGGAUUUACUAAUUAACAAAUUUUGCCAGAAAAGCAUUAAUAGAAUGGGCUUGUUGAAUUAGUUGCAAUAGUUCAUGGGCUAAUUAAGAUGAAAAAAAGUUUAAUGGUCCGGAAGAGAAUUUGGAAUAGUUUGAUGGGCUACUAUGCACUUUACCCAAAUAAUUUGAUACCCGUUUCAUUUCAUGGGCUAAAACUCUAUCCCAAACUUUGAGGUUCUUGGAACAAGAAAAACAUGUCACACGUGACCAAAAAAUGGGGUAUUACUAUGUUGGUAUAGACUAUGCACAAUUUUAUGAUGUAAUAAUUAGGUACAAAUUACAUUGGAUUGAGAAAAAAUUGGAGGGUCAAUUAAAUAACAAGAAUAGGAUUCAAGAAUACAAGUGUUCCAAUCCCAAUUGUGGGAAAAUGUAUACUGCCCUCAAUGCUCAAGAAUUGGCUUCUUUGGCACUAGAUGAUGAGUGUUUUCGUUGCGAGUUUUGCAAUGGGGAAGUUGUGGAGGAUAUGGCUGACGAAGAAAGGUUGAAAUUUUGCAAGAAAAAUGAGAUGUUGUAGAAGAGGAGGCAUGACCAAAAUUUGGCCCAAAAAAAAAAUGUAAGGUUCAGAUUUCAUUUUAUACAUCAUUUUUUCACAUCAUAUGUGAGGCGGGGCCUAUAAAAAUUUAUUUUAUAAUUACAUAUUGUUGAAAGUAAGUUAUAUCGUGUGCAUUUUACACAAAUCUGCUCCGAACAAUUUCUUGGGGCCCUUGUCCGAAAGAAGAUGGAGCUGCAGCUUUGGCCCAUGAUUGAUCAAGUGAAUACAGUAAAGGAUUUACCUGCUCCCGAAUUUGGAAGUCUACAAGAAUGACAAGGUGGAAAAAUGUUUGCGGGGUAGACAAAGAUUGAAGUGACUUUCUCUGGAAAUUCUACAUCAUCAAAAGAUGAUGAUUGGGUAGAUUGGGGGGAAGGUUGAAGGAUUGGUGCUUCAUCAUGUCUUAUUAAUAAUUGAGACUAGUAGUUCAUUUAUUAAUUGACUUUUCCAGCUGUUGUACUAUUCUGCUGGUGGAUUAUAGAAACUUGUACAAUGAAUUCAUGAGUUGAGUAGUUAAACUUGAACAAGUUUUUUUUGUUAUAUGGCCAUUGGUACCAAAGAGAAGACUUGUGAUGUAAGUCCUGACAGAAAUUCAAUUGACUGCUAGAUGGAUUUGAGAAAAAAGAGCAAGAAAUUUUAAAAUAUCCAUUUGCCUUAUGAUUUGAUGAAUAAUGGGAAAGAAAAGAAAGGACAAAAAAAAAAAAAAAAAAAAUUGAAGUGCAAAACUUCAACUGGAUAGUGCAAACAAAAGAAAUAAGACUUCAUAAUGCAACUCCAGAACAAAACAGUAGCACUGCAAUGAGCCAUACGCAAUCUGCAGGCACCUAUCAAGUAAAAAAAAACCAGACCAACAAGCACCAAACCCCAAAAGAAGGGGAAAAAAUAAAAAAAACCAGACUAACAAGCUCAAGUUCUUGAAUGUUUUAACAGAAAGCAGAAGUUACAUGCACAAACAAGCAAACAAGAUUAUUUCCCAGGUUCUCUUGAAGAAAUUGCCACUGGACAUUCUCUAGCUAGACAUCAUGGACUGGUUGCAGAUCUUGUAUUCCAAUACUCCUCAAUUUCCUUUGCAGUUCUUCCAGGGAUUCUUCCAGCAAUUAAAGACCACCUAAAAGAUUAUGCCAUUUGUUGCUUUGGGUCAACAAGUUGCAGUUCAAACUUCAAAAAAUUUAAGUAUGCAAGACAUAAGAAAAUUUUCACCACAAAAAGAAAGAAGAAAAAGGAAUUAAUUAAUACCUUUUACCAACCAAGUUGAACAUCCUAAUGAUGAGAAUUUCCUCAUCUUCAGAGAAAUGAAGCUCAGAGUCUUGACUUUUAUCCUCUAGUGCAAAAACAACAUAAUGAAAUCGAUAAACAGGUUAUUAAACUUAAAAUCUACACAGGUCUCAUGAUGUUACCUUGAGAGCCGGCAGAUUUUUCAUUCAAAGUUGUGGAUUGAUCCGAGUCAGCCAUAAGAGAUGGAAGAAAUGUUAUAGAAAUUCAAGAAAUUGCUGACAAGUAUAUAGGAGUGAAAUAUGGAGAGAGGUGAAGUGGGGAAGGGAGGAUUCUUUUAAGUCGUAUUAAUAGGAAACAGAAGAGUCCCCAGUUAAGGUCUUGAUUGCCAUGAUGUUUGAACUAGACUGGGAGGUGAAGAAAAGCAAAUCAGGAAGAAUGGUAGUUGACACUAGUACGGCUGCAUAAAGUAUAGGGUGCUCUUUGAUUGGUAGUUCUUUUUUUCCGGUCACGAUAGAAUUUAUUCUAAAUCUACUCUACUCUUACUCUAUACUAGGCGGAGGGGGCUAAACCUACUCUUACCAUACUUGGGGGAAUUUAUUCUAAAUCUACUCUACUCUUACUCUAUACUAGGCGGAGGGGACUAAACCUACUCUUACCAUACUUGGGAGAGGGGAGACAUAAAGAGGUUCAAAAGAAAUUUGGAGGGGACUAAAUUACUACUGACUUUGAACCUGGAGGGGACUAAAUUAUCACUGAUUUAAACAGGCGUCUAUGCAUUACCUGAUAAAUUUUUUAGGACAACUUGAAUUUUUUAGAAUGCGGACCAAGGGAUUUGAUUCCUUUUAACUUAUAUCUAUUAAAACUCUCUUGAUGGUGCUCUUUGAUCGGUAGUUGGCACACUAAAUUGUUGGUUGGCAAAAGGACUUAUACUUUAAAGUUUUUUCCUGCGGCUUUUUUUUUUGUCAAACGUCCUUUGGCAUUUGUCAUUUGGGAAAUAGACAAUUGAUGGAGUUUUCAUUUUUUUAAAUCUUAUAUCCCCUGUUUACUGAAAAGGCUCUUUUUUUUAAAAAAAUGUAGGUGAGAGGUUUGAACCCAAAACUUUCAACUUACACACCUUUUUCUAAUACUUUGCAAUUUAUCCCUUCCUCUUGUACUGAAGAGACUUAAUUAUUAGUUAUACAAUAUUUUUUUGCAUUCAACGAGGGAAUCCAAACCUUAUAAAGGCGAAUGACAAGGGAGGACAAGGAGUUUGAUAGUUGAAUUUUAGAUCUCACAAUCACCUCUCUAAUCUCCCUACUAACUAAAUUGAGUUUUAGGAGCUCCUCUACUCAAUUCAUUUGAUAAAUAGUUGUAAACGUUCACGUGUACAUUUAUAUAUGGAAACUGCACAAUCGUUUAUAAAGAUGUGUUCAUAAACUAAAACAAGAUGUGUGUAUUUUUCAUUUCAAUUUUUUUGUGUAUGCAUGUUAUUUUUUUUUCAAAUUAACUUCUCCAUAUCCAAUAUUGACCGUCACUCUUUUUGAACCAUUAAUCGGUUUUGCCCCUAAUCCUUAAUAUUUUACUAUUAUAAUCCUUACAAUUAGAAUAUAAGGCCCCGUUUGCAAGUGAGUUUUGUGAGUGUUUGUUUAAAAUUUUAUUGUAGAAGUUGUAGAAAAAAUUUUUAAAUGUACAAAUUUUUGGAUAUUUUGAAAUGUGUAAUUUAAAAAUUUGAAAUUUUUUUUAAAAAUUACUGUAAUUAAAAUUAUUAAAAAACUUAUAACAGAUAAACUUGGUCAAAAACUUGCUUGCCAAAUAAGGCCUAAGUUUCGUAAGAGUGAAGGAGGCAGACAGCUAAAAGAUAAGAUCAAGCCACUUCGUACCCACAUCCACCUACUUUUUAUAGGUGUGAACAACUUCUCCAUAACAUAAUAAACAGCUUAAUAAAAACUUUUUGAAUCCCUCCAAAGAAAUUCUUCAUAAAAUAUAGGGGUUUGUCACCCCUAUCGAUAGCAUAUAUUCACUGAAUUAUGAAAAAGGUAACAGAGCCGUAAUAGAGGUGGAAAUGAGUCUAAUUAACUUAGACACCUUAUCGUUCAAGUUUGUUUGGUUAUUUUAAUGAGUUUGAAAAUUUUGUUCAAAUUUAACUUGUUUAUUUAUCGAGUCGAAUUUGAACAAAUUUUUUAUCGAGUUUAAAAAUUAUCAAGUAUAAAAUGCUGUUUAAAUUUGAUUUAACUAGUUAGCGAAUCAAAAUCGAACGAAUUCUUAUUAAGUCGAGUUUGAUCCGAGUAUUGAAUAGUUUUAUUCAUCUUUCAACCUCUACACCGCACAGUCCAACGCGAUAAUGGGUCAUAGCUUCUGGAUAAGACAAUAAUAUCAAAACCGCUGGAUAAGACAAUUAUAUCAAAGUGGCACACCCUAACUAUAGUAAAUCUCUCUUUAUUGAUAUUAUGACAAAAAGAUUACUCAGUAGGAAGUGUCAAUGAUGGCUUAGUUAGGUAAAUGAGUAAAUAUCAAACUCUCUCCUAGACUAUUGUUGAAUUGCAAUGUUUUGAUUGCUUUUUUUUUUUUUUUUUUUCAUUCAGAUUAUUAUAUAGUAAAUAGAUAGAUUUUUAGGAAAGAUGAAUAUAGGAGAACAUUAAGGGCUGUGAUUCUAUCUUUUUCGCUCUCUGUUUUUUUUUUUUUUACUUUCCAAUAAAAGGUUUUGUUUUAUGUAUUCUCAUUGUCUUUUGGUUUUGUUUUAAGUCAUGUAAGAUAAAAAUUGAUUAUGAGAAACAAUUAUCUGCUCUUGGGAAUCACUUCUGACUUCUCAAUACUUUUUCAAGAAUAUUAUUACUCACAAAUCUGAAAACUUGAAUGAAAAGGGAACUAGCUAAGUCAUCAAUGCUAGUUUUCUGAUCAUAUUAUCACUAGUUAACCCCUGAUUAUCCCCAAAAAUAACUAAUUCUGGAAUUAAGAAAAGCUUUGGGCAUAUUGACAUUUACCUUUUUUAUGGCCGAUACUUCAUUAGAAAUAAUGUGUUUUAAUGAGGCAAUGAUGCACUUUUUUUUUUAAAAAAACUGUCUCAUAUUAGCAAGUUCCUAAAAUAGCUGAUGACGCUGUUAUUUGUUUCUUUAAUUCUUAAUGAAUAACUAGAAAAUAGGAUAUCAUGAGCUUAAUACCUUUAUUAUUGAAGGUCAGAGCAGUAAAGUUAGUGUGACUAUUCCAAAGCAAAGAGGGUAAACUGUGAUUAACCUUUAUUUUUAGAGACAUCCAUUAAUUCUAGAAGAUUUUUUUGUACAAAGCUUGCAAGGUUAAAGCGACCACUUAAUUAUACGGAAAUGUUUUUUUGCACUUUUAUUUUUUAUUAAUCACACUCUCACUGUCAUUUUUAUAAUAUAGUUUUCAUUUAUUGGACUAUAUAAUAAAACAAAUGGUGAGAAUGCAAUUUAAAAAAAUGGAGUGCAAAUAACAUAUCCCUAAUUAUAUGCAACAUAUGUUAACAAAAAAAAAAAACAAUUCACAACAUUGUCAUCAAUGCAUACUAAUUUGAAAAUAAUAAACUCAGUAUGCUAAUUUUUCUUUUCUUUCUUUUCCCUAGCUGUCCUUUUCAAAAGCUUGUAGCGAAGAGUUUUACUAUCAACAGUGCCUCUAAUGUGCCAAUUGGCAGACUGCAAAACUUUUUUGGCUUUAAGUUGUCGGCAGGAACAUUGAGCACUAAAUAAAAAGUGUAAAGGAGGAAAAAGAAAAGAAAAAACAACAAGAAGGAUUUUAAAAUAGCAAUUAUUUGAGUUUCAAAUUAUGAUUGAUUUAUGAAGAGAACUGCACAUAAAACUUAGAGAAUGAGUGUGUUUGGAUUGUAAAUUAUUUGAGAUAAUUUUGUGAAAAACUACUGUAGCACUUUUUUGAUGUGAUGUAUUUGAGAUAAAAAAAUAAUUGAAAAAUGUGUUGAUGAUGCAAGCAAGUCAGUGCGUGUAAAUAAGGUGUAAAUAAUGUGCAUGACAAAAUUCUUCCAGGAAGGUUAACCUGCAGGAGAAGUAAGUAAAAAGUUCAUUUGAUAGGGUAGGUUGUUGAUGUUAACCUCAUUUAAGAAGCCAAAAUUUUUUUGUGUAAAUUCAAGCAGGAGAAAAUUUUCUCUUUCAAAAUCUUUCUAAUUGGCCUCUCUUGAUAGCCACAUAAUUGUAGGUAACUUUGUCUUUUAUCCGUCAAAACAAAAGGCCAAGCGUCUUCCUGAAACUCCCCAUGCGUGCAAAGCUCCAAGCGUCUUUUUUAGGUGCCAAACCGAGCAGUCUAUUUCAUUAGACCAAACAAAUUAACACGAGAAUGAAAAGGACAAAUGCAGCAAAAUUGGUUGGAAAUAUGUUAGCUAGCUAGUCAGCAUGGUAUUGUCACAAGUAGCAACUCAAGCUGAGAGCAAUUAUUGCGAUGGACAAAUUCCACUUUGCACCCCUAAACUUGUAUCACUUUCUUGCUUUGCACUCUAAAUUUUAAUUUUGGAUACUUUAAACUCUCAAAUUUAUCCUAUUUAAGUCUAAUCAAUAAUAAGUUUUGCAAAAUUAACAGCAUAGAGGAUAAAAAAAUCAAUAAUAAUGUGCUGAAAGAAAUUAAAAGAUGCCAAGGUAUCAUAGGAAAAAAUAAAAUAAGACAUUAUCAUUAAUUUUCACUAUCUUUUAUUUCGUCAGUUUUGCUAACAAUAUUAUUGAGAUUAUAUACAUAAAUGAUUAUAUGCUAAAAAUGGUUAAAAAAUCUAAGGGAUCUAGUUGGAAGAAAACGGGACAUUAUCAUUAAUUUUGAUACCUUUUAUCUCGUUAAUUUUGAGAACAUAAUCAUUGAUUGGAUUUAAAUGGGACAAACUUUAGAGCUUAGCCUGUAAAUUGUUCAAAUUAAAAGUUGAGGUUGCAAAGUGUCAAAAAAUGAAGUUUAGGAUACAAAGUGAGAAAGUGAUACAAGUCCAAAGAUGCAACGUCGCGGAGUUAAUCCUAUUGCGAAAAUGAAAAAUUAUCCCUUUCAAGUCUACUAUCAGUCUUGACUUGAAAAAGGUAAAUUUGGCAAUGUUUUUUGAAAAUUCUAUGUGGCAUUGAAAUUUAGGAUCUGGUAUUAACAUUAGUCUGUUAGCAUAGAUUUGGACCAAAAUGCUAUUUGAUGAUAUCUAAAUAGUUACAUUUUUUUUUUGGCACUUAUAAUGUAUGUCUCUAGCAUCUUUUGUUUUGCCUAUUAUGCUUCGCGAAGUCUAAAACUUUUCAGUGUAAAGCUUUCAUAUUAAAAUUGGGUGCUGUAUUUCUUAAUGAGAGGUAAUUUGAAUAACACUCUGUUUGGAGCUUGUCAUUCUCUAAUUGCUUCCUUAUUAAAAUAUGAUUAUUGAAGUUUUUCAUCCUGUGAUAAAUGGCUUUCUGGAAUGCUUUUUAUUGGUGUUAGGAAAUUCACAGUGAAAAAGGAAUUCCAAAAAGUGGUUGAAUUUUUAGAAUGGAGAAAGUUGAGUUUUUUCGUAGAAGUGAUUUCUUAAUAAAUGAUCUAUUCAAAAAGGUAAAAAGUGAUUUCUUGGAUUAGAUUGUCAAUAAAUUGGUUAAUUAAAAAUCUAUUUUCUAAAAUUUUUUAAUGAUGUUUAAAAAAAAUCCAUUCAAAAAGGCAAAGGUGAUUUCUGGGAUUCCCUUAGUGAUGUUUUCUGUUUUUUAUGAUGUUUUAAGGGUUAGUUUGGUGACUUUUUUUUAGUGUUGUUUUAAAAAUCUGUUUUCUAUUGUUUAUUGUCUUGUUUUGGCAUGUUACUCCAUUAGUGUGUAUGUAUAUUGUUUUAGACAGUAUUUGUGUUGCAUGGACCAAUUACUAGUACUGAUAAUUGAAAAAGUCCUUCCAAAAACUUGUACUGUAACAUUAUCCAUGCCACCAAAUGUCCAAAAAAGAGCGCUUACCAAAAUAAUUGAAGUGGUUCAGACUUUGAAACUCUUAUGGAGAAAGGACCAAGAUUUCAAACUAUUGAACGUACAUCAAUAUUUUGAGGAGUUCUUGGGAAAAAAUUAUUGUAGUAAUUUUUUUUUUUUGAAUGAGAUAACAAGAUGAUCUUUUUUAGAAUAUGAUAUAUAUGAAAUAAAAAGGUGAUUGAAAAUUAUAUAAAAAGAAAAUUCACGAAAAACAUAAAAGCUUUUUUUCAAAAAUCACAAUCCAAACAAGGCCUCAGGUUAAAGCUCAUCCCAUGAAUAGGGUGACUUAACAAGCUAGUGUGGGGGUAGGAAUGGCGUAAAAAGUUUUCAACAAGUUGGAAUGCAUCCCAAAUAACUUGUUCAAUAUUGUAACAAAAACGUAAAAGUCCAAUGUUUUUCAUUUUGAAAAGUACAUUUCAGUUGUGUCACAAGUAAGUGGCAUUAUUUUAGCCAUCUAUUAUGAAUGUUUGCCUUGUUAGUAAAAUUUGGUACUUUGUAACAUCGAUGGACGGUUGUCAGUGGUGAAUUGGUUAAAAGCAAUGGAAAGAUAGGUGACAGUUACAAAGUACCAAAUUUUUGUCUUUCAAGUGGAUUUAGACAAUAAUUAAGAACAAACAUACUUCUCUCUUAUGGCUCAAGUCUUCACUUUCAUUCUUGGAUUUCAAGUUCAAUCUUUUCAACUGGGGCAGGUGGUGGAAAAGGAAUGGGUGCUGCUUGGAUUUCAAGUUCAAUCUUUUCUAGUGGGGCAGGUGGUGGAAAAAUAAUGGGUGCCGGAAGAAUGGCAAUAAGCACUGGUGGAACAGUGAUGAAUACCAUUGCACAUAAAAGAUGGUAGCCACAAAAGGAAACCUAAUCCUUUAACCAAUGAAACAGAGUAAAUUGCACGGCUAAAUGUAGUUGCCAAGCUUGUUUAAAAACACACCUAUAGCAUCACAGUUUUGCAUAAUAGAACAUACUAUAACGUUCAGAAGGGGUACUGCAGUAACCGAUGCAAGUCAGAGGUCUGAAGCUAGACAAGAUUCAUCUGCUGUUGCUCAAAAGCCAUGAAUCUUGAUGUUCUCCUUCUUCACAAUACC
RNAcentral lists this long non-coding RNA (9462 nucleotides) under Coffea arabica (coffee). Its description in RNAcentral is "long non-coding RNA (CARA_LNC003822)". The record is from RNAcentral. Lineage: Eukaryota; Viridiplantae; Streptophyta; Magnoliopsida; Gentianales; Rubiaceae.